CCGGUGAAAAUAAGGGGUUGCGUUCGAACAUGACGAGGCCGCUACAGAAGGGAAGCAUCCGAGUGGAGAAACGCGACGAAGAAUAGGUAGGGGCACGGGGAUAACGAAGAUGGCCGACGACGUUCCUUACCGGCCCCCUACUUCCACGACGCGCUUAGCUGGACCCUGCGACGACGGCGUAUUGCCGCUCGAGUUGCUCGGGCUGCUACUGCCGUUCGUCGCUGGACCUUCCCCUCCUCCCCGUGCGGACCCGGCGGCGCGAAGGAGCUGGCGACGCUGCGGGAGGUACUACCCGCGGGGUUCUAAGAAGCCGGCGUCCUCCGCAGACUGCCGUCGCCGUGCAGAGGCCAGUUUAGGUUACUUUUUGUCGGGAGGACAGGCCGGUUCGCUGGUUCGGGGUUAUCGUUUUGGGUUACCAGCAGCGCGUCGUCUACGGCAGGUUGGUUCAAACACAAAGGUGUAACGAAGAAUACCGUAACUUUCGCAGAAGUUUCCGAAGGAGAAGGAGUAUGAACAUGUACGUUCGUGACUUUAGUCGUUCAUGUAAACCAGGUAGGAGCAGAAAAAAGAAUACUCCAUUCACGGACUACCGUAAAACGUAAUACACUUUUCACGUGCUAGGUACGGUACGAAGCCAUUUAUGACGGACUUAACGUAAUGGGUAACGAUGUAGAACUAGUCAUUUCUAACAAGAACCAACGAAAAACAAUACGUGACUAUCCUUG
This 725-nucleotide ribosomal RNA is filed under the name Triticum aestivum (bread wheat). RNAcentral describes it as "partial small subunit ribosomal RNA". Lineage: Eukaryota; Viridiplantae; Streptophyta; Magnoliopsida; Poales; Poaceae. The record is from RNAcentral.